RNAcentral lists this ribosomal RNA (398 nucleotides) under uncultured bacterium. Its description in RNAcentral is "bacterial SSU rRNA". It matches the Rfam family "Bacterial small subunit ribosomal RNA", at positions 358 to 773 of the family's 1533-position model. The record is from RNAcentral.
GGGAUAUUGCACAAUGGGGGAAACCCUGAUGCAGCGACGCCGCGUGAGUGAAGAAGUACUUCGGUAUGUAAAGCUCUAUCAGCAGGGAAGAUGAUGACAUUACCUGACUAAGAAGCCCCGGCGAACUACGUGCCAGCAGCCGCGGUAAUACGUAGGGGGCAAGCGUUAUCCGGAUUUACUGGGUGUAAAGGGAGCGUAGGCGGCUGGGCAAGUCAGAAGUGAAAGCCCGGGGCUCAACCCCGGGACUGCUUUUGAGACUGUCCAGCUAGAGUGUCGGAGGGGUAGGCGGAAUUCCUAGUGUAGCGGUGAAAUGCGUAGAUAUUAGGAGGAACACCAGUGGCGAAGGCGGCCUACUGGACGAUGACUGACGCUGAGGCUCGAAAGCGUGGGGAGCAAAC